Molecule: ribosomal RNA, 236 nt
Filed under: uncultured prokaryote
Description: partial 16S ribosomal RNA
Rfam family: Bacterial small subunit ribosomal RNA
Source: RNAcentral
UACGUAGGCAGCAAGCGUUGUUCGGAGUUACUGGGCGUAAAGGGUGUGUAGGCGGUUGUUUAAGUUUGGGGUGAAAUCUCCCGGCUCAACUGGGAGGGUGCGCCGAAUACUGAAUGACUAGAGUGCGGGAGAGGAAAGUGGAAUUCCUGGUGUAGCGGUGAAAUGCGUAGAUAUCAGGAGGAACACCUGCGGUGUAGACGGCUUUCUGGACCAUUGCUGACGCUGAGACACGAAAG